RNAcentral lists this ribosomal RNA (539 nucleotides) under uncultured bacterium. Its description in RNAcentral is "bacterial SSU rRNA". It matches the Rfam family "Bacterial small subunit ribosomal RNA", at positions 356 to 896 of the family's 1533-position model. The record is from RNAcentral.
GAGGAAUAUUGGUCAAUGGGCGAGAGCCUGAACCAGCCAAGUAGCGUGCAGGAUGACGGCCCUAUGGGUUGUAAACUGCUUUUGUAUGGGGAUAAAGUCAAUCACGUGUGAUUGUUUGCAGGUACCAUACGAAUAAGGACCGGCUAAUUCCGUGCCAGCAGCCGCGGUAAUACGGAAGGUCCGGGCGUUAUCCGGAUUUAUUGGGUUUAAAGGGAGCGUAGGCUGGAGAUUAAGUGUGUUGUGAAAUGUAGACGCUCAACGUCUGACUUGCAGCGCAUACUGGUUUCCUUGAGUGCGCACAACGUUGGCGGAAUUCGUCGUGUAGCGGUGAAAUGCUUAGAUAUGACGAAGAACUCCGAUUGCGAAGGCAGCUGACGGGAGCGCAACUGACGCUGAAGCUCGAAGGUGCGGGUAUCGAACAGGAUUAGAUACCCUGGUAGUCCGCACAGUAAACGAUGGAUGCCCGCUGUUGGUACCUAGUAUCAGCGGCUAAGCGAAAGCAUUAAGCAUCCCACCUGGGGAGUACGCCGGCAACGGUG